This 204-nucleotide ribosomal RNA is filed under the name Escherichia coli. RNAcentral describes it as "partial 16S ribosomal RNA". It matches the Rfam family "Bacterial small subunit ribosomal RNA", at positions 154 to 360 of the family's 1533-position model. The record is from RNAcentral. Lineage: Bacteria; Pseudomonadati; Pseudomonadota; Gammaproteobacteria; Enterobacterales; Enterobacteriaceae.
AAACGGUAGCUAAUACCGCAUAACGUCGCAAGACCAAAGAGGGGGACCUUCGGGCCUCUUGCCAUCGGAUGUGCCCAGAUGGGAUUAGCUAGUAGGUGGGGUAACGGCUCACCUAGGCGACGAUCCCUAGCUGGUCUGAGAGGAUGACCAGCCACACUGGAACUGAGACACGGUCCAGACUCCUACGGGAGGCAGCAGUGGGGA